This 834-nucleotide ribosomal RNA is filed under the name uncultured Cytophagales bacterium. Its description in RNAcentral is "bacterial SSU rRNA". It matches the Rfam family "Bacterial small subunit ribosomal RNA", at positions 53 to 887 of the family's 1533-position model. The record is from RNAcentral. Lineage: Bacteria; Pseudomonadati; Bacteroidota; Sphingobacteriia; Sphingobacteriales.
ACAUGCAAGUCGAGGGGCAGCAUUUACUUCGGUAAAUGGCGACCGGCGCACGGGUGAGUAACGCGUAUGCAACCUACCUUUAACUGGGGCAUAGCUCGAGGAAACUCGAAUUAAUUCCCCAUAGUACAAUAUAAUAUCGCAUGAUAUAAUUGUUAAAGAUUUAUCGGUUAAAGAUGGGCAUGCGUCUGAUUAGCUUGUUGGUAAGGUAACGGCUUACCAAGGCAACGAUCAGUAGGGGGUCUGAGAGGAUGAUCCCCCACACUGGUACUGAGACACGGACCAGACGUCUACGGACGGCAGCAGUAAGGAAUAUUGGGCAAUGGGCGCAAGCCUGACCCAGCCAUGCCGCGUGCAGGAUGACGACCCUAUGGGUUGUAAACUGCUUUUAUAUAGGAAGAAAAUACUCUUGCGAGAGGAUCUGACGGUACUAUAUGAAUAAGGACCGGCUAACUCCGUGCCAGCAGCCGCGGUAAUACGGAGGGUUCAAGCGUUUUCCGGAUUUAUUGGGUUUAAAGGGUGCGUAGGUGGUUUAUUAAGUCAGUGGUGAAAUCCUGCAGCUCAACUGUAGAACUGCCAUUGAUACUGGUAAACUUGAGUUUGGUUUAGGUAAGCGGAAUUUAUGAUGUAGCGGUGAAAUGCAUAGAUAUCAUAAGGAACACCAAUAGCGAAGGCAGCUUACUGGACCAUAACUGACACUGAGGCACGAAAGCGUGGGUAGCGAACAGGAUUAGAUACCCUGGUAGUCCACGCCGUAAACGAUGCUCACUCGAUGUUAGCGAUAUACUGUUAGCGUCCAAGCUAAAGCGUUAAGUGAGCCACCUGGGGAGUACGCCG